This 703-nucleotide ribosomal RNA is filed under the name Micromonospora sp. P3832. RNAcentral describes it as "bacterial SSU rRNA". It matches the Rfam family "Bacterial small subunit ribosomal RNA", at positions 24 to 745 of the family's 1533-position model. The record is from RNAcentral. Lineage: Bacteria; Bacillati; Actinomycetota; Actinomycetes; Micromonosporales; Micromonosporaceae.
UCAGGACGAACGCUGGCGGCGUGCUUAACACAUGCAAGUCGAGCGGAAAGGCCCUUCGGGGUACUCGAGCGGCGAACGGGUGAGUAACACGUGAGCAACCUGCCCUAGGCUUUGGGAUAACCCCGGGAAACCGGGGCUAAUACCGAAUAUGACUUCUGGUCGCAUGACCGGUGGUGGAAAGUUUUUCGGCCUGGGAUGGGCUCGCGGCCUAUCAGCUUGUUGGUGGGGUGAUGGCCUACCAAGGCGACGACGGGUAGCCGGCCUGAGAGGGCGACCGGCCACACUGGGACUGAGACACGGCCCAGACUCCUACGGGAGGCAGCAGUGGGGAAUAUUGCACAAUGGGCGGAAGCCUGAUGCAGCGACGCCGCGUGAGGGAUGACGGCCUUCGGGUUGUAAACCUCUUUCAGCAGGGACGAAGCGUAAGUGACGGUACCUGCAGAAGAAGCGCCGGCCAACUACGUGCCAGCAGCCGCGGUAAGACGUAGGGCGCGAGCGUUGUCCGGAUUUAUUGGGCGUAAAGAGCUCGUAGGCGGCUUGUCGCGUCGACUGUGAAAACCCGCAGCUCAACUGCGGGCCUGCAGUCGAUACGGGCAGGCUAGAGUUCGGUAGGGGAGACUGGAAUUCCUGGUGUAGCGGUGAAAUGCGCAGAUAUCAGGAGGAACACCGGUGGCGAAGGCGGGUCUCUGGGCCGAUACUGACG